UACAGAGGGGGCAAGCGUUGUUCGGAAUUACUGGGCGUAAAGGGCGCGUAGGCGGCCUUCUAAGUCGAACGUGAAAUCCCUGGGCUCAACCCAGGAACUGCGUCCGAUACUGGCAGGCUUGAAUCCGGGAGAGGGAUGUGGAAUUCCAGGUGUAGCGGUGAAAUGCGUAGAUAUCUGGAGGAACACCGGUGGCGAAGGCGGCAUCCUGGACCGGUAUUGACGCUGAGGCGCGAAAGCCAGGGGAGCAAACGGG
This 253-nucleotide ribosomal RNA is filed under the name uncultured bacterium. RNAcentral describes it as "partial 16S ribosomal RNA". It matches the Rfam family "Bacterial small subunit ribosomal RNA", at positions 524 to 776 of the family's 1533-position model. The record is from RNAcentral.